This is a long non-coding RNA of Astatotilapia calliptera (eastern happy), 335 nucleotides long. The record is from Ensembl. Lineage: Eukaryota; Metazoa; Chordata; Actinopteri; Cichliformes; Cichlidae.
UAGAGAAAAGCAACAAUACAGAGUGUUUCUCUGCUCCAAGAAAUCUGAGGGCCUUUCACAAGAAGGAAGGUCACAGCAGGCGCUUUUCUCAAACGCAUUACCAAUCAGUUUUUUACAAGAAGUGUAGCUCAUACAAUGAGAUGGACUUACACACUUGCUUUACUUCUCUCGGGGAUAACUUUGUCGGAGAUGAAAUGCCGGGUUGCUAGCGAAGCUCCGCAUGCUAUCCAGACCACCAACAGGUCCUGCAUGCCACAGCCACUCUAUCACGUGAUGCAUACUGCUCCGACGUGCUAACGUUCUGAGGUGAGUUACGGCGUGUUGCAAGUUUUGUG